RNAcentral lists this ribosomal RNA (235 nucleotides) under Salmonella enterica subsp. enterica serovar Virginia str. SA19971529. RNAcentral describes it as "partial 23S ribosomal RNA". It matches the Rfam family "Bacterial large subunit ribosomal RNA", at positions 1 to 227 of the family's 2925-position model. Lineage: Bacteria; Pseudomonadati; Pseudomonadota; Gammaproteobacteria; Enterobacterales; Enterobacteriaceae. The record is from RNAcentral.
GGGUUGUGAGGUUAAGCGACUAAGCGUACACGGUGGAUGCCCUGGCAGUCAGAGGCGAUGAAGGGCGUGCUAAUCUGCGAUAAGCGCCGGUAAGGUGAUAUGAACCGUUAUAACCGGCGAUACCCGAAUGGGGAAACCCAGUGUGACUCGUCACACUAUCAUUAACUGAAUCCAUAGGUUAAUGAGGCGAACCGGGGGAACUGAAACAUCUAAGUACCCCGAGGAAAAGAAAUCA